Molecule: ribosomal RNA, 402 nt
Filed under: uncultured bacterium
Lineage: Bacteria
Description: bacterial SSU rRNA
Rfam family: Bacterial small subunit ribosomal RNA
Source: RNAcentral
AAUGAACGCUGGCGGCGCGCCUAAUACAUGCAAGUCGAGCGAGAAGACGUAGCAAUACGUUUGUAAAGCGGCGAACGGGUGAGGAAUACAUGGGUAACCUACCCUCGAGUGGGGAAUAACUAGCCGAAAGGUUAGCUAAUACCGCGUACGCUCCUUGGACUUCGGUUCAGGGAGGAAAGCGAUACCGUGGGUAUCGCGCUCUUGGUUGGGCUCAUGUCCUAUCAGCUUGUUGGUGAGGAACGGCUCACCAAGGCUUCGACGGGUAGCUGGUCUGAGAGGACGAUCAGCCACACUGGCACUGCGACACGGGCCAGACUCCUACGGGAGGCAGCAGUAAGGAAUAUUGCGCAAUGGGCGAAAGCCUGACGCAGCGACGCCGCGUGGGGGAGUGAAGGUCUUCGG